This 1077-nucleotide long non-coding RNA is filed under the name Trifolium pratense (red clover). Its description in RNAcentral is "long non-coding RNA (TPRA_LNC014157)". Lineage: Eukaryota; Viridiplantae; Streptophyta; Magnoliopsida; Fabales; Fabaceae. The record is from RNAcentral.
CCAAGUCUUCAACUUCUUUUUAUAAACUUAGAGGUUACUAUUUGAAUUGGACUAUCAUUUUAUUUGUAAAGUAUUCACACAAGUAAUUAAAUUUGGAACUUUAUAGCUUUAUAUUUUUUUUUUCCUUAUUAGAAAGUGUUGAGAAAAUUCCUUGUGGAAUUCAAAGACCAUCCCUUUUACUUUCUCUCUCACCUUUGACACGUAUUUGAAUACCAAACUUCUAUAUAACCACUAAGAUAGACCCAUCAUUAUUCAUUUUUCAUUAACACUUCUCGGAGUAAGACUUCAAUUCAUAGCUCAAAUAUAUACUUCUCCAUAAGCUAUAACAACAAAGGUUUGAAUUUUACCUACCCUUUUCUUUUAAUCAAGUUUUUUCUUCAUAUAAUUAUAAACAUAUCCAUUAUAUUUUUCCUUUUCAAAAAAAUAUGAACAUAUCCAUUUAAUUUCUUUGAUUUUUAUCAAAAAAUAAUUAUUUUCUUUUUAAUUAAAGUUGGCACCCAAAAAUAAAUAAAUUAAGUUGCAUUUCUCGACUGUUCUAUUUCAUAUGUGAUUUAAACAUAUUUUUGCAUACUCUGAUAAUAAAAAGAAAUGUGGUUAUGAUAUUUUUGUAUGGUUGUUAAUGAUUUUUGUAUUGUGCUUUAUUUAUGGUUUGAUUAAUGGAGGUGUUUAUGUAAUUUGAACAGGAUUAAAAAAAAAGGGUAGAUUUCAAUUUCAUCAAAAGAAUCGAAAUUGGUGUGAAUCAAACAAAAGCUCUAUGGGAUUAUCACUUUCCAUAUUAAUUUCAGCUUGGGAAGAAAUUGUUAGACAUUCACUCUUUGGUCUAUCAUUCACUCUUUGGUCAUGAAUAUGAAAGGGCUUGUGUUGUAUUCAACUUCCCUUACCUACAAAGACAGACACAGAAAGAGAGACUCAGAGAGAGAGAGAGAACACAAAGCAAAGAACAAGUAUAACGUGGCACAUAGGAAAACAAAGAAAGGAACAAACGAGAAGUGAAAAACAGAGUACUUGCUCUGUUUUUUCAUUCUUUCUUCGUCAAAAACAGUAAUUUAGAAUCACACCAGGCGAUCUACACACUGU